RNAcentral lists this long non-coding RNA (508 nucleotides) under Equus caballus (horse). Its description in RNAcentral is "lncRNA (ENSECAG00000050692.1)". Lineage: Eukaryota; Metazoa; Chordata; Mammalia; Perissodactyla; Equidae. The record is from RNAcentral.
AAUCACGCUGCCUCUGGAGACAGACUGCUUGGUUGGGAUCAGGCUCUGCUGCUUUCAGGCUGUGUGAGGAAGCAAUUUAGCCCCUCAGGCUUUAUUUUCUUCUCUACAAAACGGAAUAACAGUGGUGCCUAGAUAGUUGGGAACUAGUGAUAACUGAAUGAAUUGCUGUAAAGCUGAGAAAGGAUUGCUUAUAACAAUGGCUCAACAAUGUUAAUUAUUUGAGAACAAAACAUAAUGCUAUUUCCCUAGAGGUAUGCUGGCAGCAGGGGCCACUCAGACAUCCUCUGAAUUCACUUAUGACUGAAAGGUAUAAGAUUUUCUACUUGAACGUCUGCUCUUGAUGAGUUUCUGUUUUGCAUCAACUACAAGGCACAGAUGUCACCUCUCAUCUCUUUUAUUCAACAUGUAUUGAAGGUUCUAAUAAGUGCAAUUAGAGCAAAGAAAAAGAGGAAGAAAUAAAAUCAUGCCAAUGAGAAAGGAAGAACAACACUAUCUUACUCUCAAACAG